Molecule: ribosomal RNA, 253 nt
Filed under: uncultured bacterium
Lineage: Bacteria
Description: partial 16S ribosomal RNA
Rfam family: Bacterial small subunit ribosomal RNA
Source: RNAcentral
GACGUAGGGCGCGAGCGUUGUCCGGAUUUAUUGGGCGUAAAGAGCUCGUAGGCGGCUUGUCGCGUCGAAUGUGAAAACUCGGGGCUCAACUCCGAGCUUGCAUUCGAUACGGGCAGGCUAGAGUCCGGUAGGGGAGACUGGAAUUCCUGGUGUAGCGGUGAAAUGCGCAGAUAUCAGGAGGAACACCGAUGGCGAAGGCAGGUCUCUGGGCCGAUACUGACGCUGAGGAGCGAAAGCGUGGGGAGCGAACAGG